UCGGGUCUGUGGUUGCAAGUCGAUGCCAGUCGCAGGCGAAACGAUCCACAUAAGCGGAAAAAUUCCGUGAGCAUGGUGCGGCUUAGAGGUAAGUCCAACCGGCGGCGCAGCCGUCGAGAGGGGCAGUAGUGGGGAGCGCGAACGCUUAGGAGCGAACCCUCCGGUUGGCGAGUGUGGGGGCAAAGACCAGGUCAGCCGAU
RNAcentral lists this non-coding RNA (200 nucleotides) under bovine gut metagenome. Its description in RNAcentral is "raiA RNA". It matches the Rfam family "raiA RNA". The record is from RNAcentral.